GGCGUUUGAGAAUUGAGAGGGGUUGCUCUAGUACGAGAGGACCGGAGUGAACGAACCGCUGGUGUUCGGGUGUCAUGCCAAUGGCAUUGCCCGGUAGCUACGUUCGGAACUGAUAAGCGCUGAAAGCAUCUAAGCGCGAAGCAGGCCUCGAGAUGAGUUCUCACUAGACUUUUAAAGUCUCUGAAGGGCCGUUGAAGACUACAACGUUGAUAGGCAAGAUGUGGAAGUGGUGUGAGCCAUUAAGCUAACUUGUACUAAUUACCCGUGAGGCUUAACCAUA
Molecule: ribosomal RNA, 280 nt
Filed under: Alteromonadales bacterium TW-7
Lineage: Bacteria; Pseudomonadati; Pseudomonadota; Gammaproteobacteria; Alteromonadales
Description: partial 23S ribosomal RNA
Rfam family: Bacterial large subunit ribosomal RNA
Source: RNAcentral